This is a long non-coding RNA of Xenia sp. Carnegie-2017, 466 nucleotides long. RefSeq lists it as uncharacterized. Lineage: Eukaryota; Metazoa; Cnidaria; Anthozoa; Malacalcyonacea; Xeniidae. The record is from RefSeq and is a predicted model, not a curated record. The transcript has 2 exons.
GAGAACAUAUAGCAUUUUUUUUUCAAAAAAAUGUACUCCUACCGCUAUUUUGAAAUUUCUACAUUUUUAAAAUAAUUUUUUUAUGACGACAUUGCAAACAAGGCGUUAUUAUUGAUGUUUCUUACCUGACGGAAAACGUUAUAGAAAUACACUUGUUGAAAUAUCUAUUGGAGACUGUGAUCGAAGAUCAGUGGUUUAUCUAAUUAAAGACUCGACAUUUUCAUUGCAUUCUUUGACUUCACAAACUCGAGAAAUACAAAAAUGGAUACGAAAGACUCGAGCAUUUCAGAAAUGAUCGUCAAAGACUCGGGAAUUUCAGAAAAUGGCACCAAGGACUCGGGAAUUUCAGAAAUUGGCACCAAAGACUCGGGAAUUUCAGAAAUUGGCACCAAGGACUCGGGAAUUUCAGAAAAUGGCAUCAAGGACUCGGGAAUUUCAGAAAUUGGCACCAAAGAAUCGGGAAGUU